Molecule: ribosomal RNA, 435 nt
Filed under: uncultured bacterium
Lineage: Bacteria
Description: partial 16S ribosomal RNA
Rfam family: Bacterial small subunit ribosomal RNA
Source: RNAcentral
AGCGAACGCUGGCGGCAGGCUUAACACAUGCAAGUCGAGCGGGCAUAGCAAUAUGUCAGCGGCAGACGGGUGAGUAACGCGUGGGAACGUACCUUUUGGUUCGGAACAACUGAGGGAAACUUCAGCUAAUACCGGAUAAGCCCUUACGGGGAAAGAUUUAUCGCCGAAAGAUCGGCCCGCGUCUGAUUAGCUAGUUGGUGAGGUAAUGGCUCACCAAGGCGACGAUCAGUAGCUGGUCUGAGAGGAUGAUCAGCCACAUUGGGACUGAGACACGGCCCAAAAUGGGACGCAGGGGUGGAGUAGAGAGUAUUAUACGCGGAGGGCAAGCGUAACCAAGCCGUGCGGGGGAAGAGGGGAAGGGGGUAGGAUUCUGAAGCUGCCUUGGGCGGAGAGUUAGUGACGGUACCGGAAGAAUAAGCCCCGGCUAACUUCGUG